Molecule: long non-coding RNA, 341 nt
Filed under: Medicago truncatula (barrel medic)
Lineage: Eukaryota; Viridiplantae; Streptophyta; Magnoliopsida; Fabales; Fabaceae
Description: long non-coding RNA (MTRU_LNC000846)
Source: RNAcentral
UUCAUUUUCCAAUUAGUUUUCAACAAAAGAAAAGGAAAAGGAUAGAAGAAACACCCAAUUCCCUUUGUUUCCUUCCUCUGAUCAUGAAAAUAGAGAAGUAGAAGGAGGUAAAUUUUGAGCUAGCUUUCAAUAAUGGGGCAUAUAAUCUUAGCUCAAAUCUCAAAACCUCUAUGGCGUAUAAUUAGCAUUCUCUACUAAUAAAGGUUUGCAUGUGAAGUAUGCAUUGCUUAAUCGCACAGAUUAGAGAAUGGUAAUCAUGCAGAAAAUUCUGCAAUUUGAUGCCUUAAACAUGGACUGAAAUUUUCACUACAAGAAAAUUAGUGAUUUGCUACGAAAAUAAU